CAAGGAAUUUUGCACAAUCGACGCAAGUCGGAUGCAGCAACGCCGCGUGGGGGAAGAAGGCCUUCGGGUCGUAAACCCCUUUUGCGAGGGAAGAAGAUCUGACGGUACCUCGCGAAUAAGUCACGGCUAACUACGUGCCAGCAGCCGCGGUAAUACGUAGGUGGCGAACGUUGUCCGGAUUCACUGGGCGUAAAGCGCGCGCAGGCGGGCUGAUCAGUCUGGGGUGAAAUCUCCCGGCUCAACCGGGAGGGGCCCUCGGAUACUGUCAGCCUUGAGGUGCCUAGAGGAGAGUGGAAUUCCCGGUGUAGUGGUGGAAUGCGUAGAUAUCGGGAGGAACACCAGUGGCGAAGGCGACUCUCUGGGGGUGACCUGACGCUGAGGCGCGAAAGCGUGGGGAGCGAACCGGAUUAGAUACCCCCGUAGUCC
Molecule: ribosomal RNA, 426 nt
Filed under: uncultured prokaryote
Description: bacterial SSU rRNA
Rfam family: Bacterial small subunit ribosomal RNA
Source: RNAcentral